AUUGAACGCUGGCGGCAUGCCUUACACAUGCAAGUCGAACGGCAGCACGGGAGCUUGCUCCUGGUGGCGAGUGGCGAACGGGUGAGUAAUACAUCGGAACGUACCCUGAAGUGGGGGAUAACGUAGCGAAAGUUACGCUAAUACCGCAUAUUCUGUGAGCAGGAAAGAGGGGGAUCGCAAGACCUCUUGCUUUAGGAGCGGCCGAUGUCGGAUUAGCUAGUUGGUGAGGUAAAGGCUCACCAAGGCGACGAUCCGUAGCGGGUCUGAGAGGAUGAUCCGCCACACUGGGACUGAGACACGGCCCAGACUCCUACGGGAGGCAGCAGUGGGGAAUAUUGGACAAUGGGCGAAAGCCUGAUCCAGCCACGCCGCGUGAGUGAUGAAGGCCUUCGGGUUGUAAAGCUCUGUCGUAGGGGACGAAAGGGGAAACCGUUUGACGGUACCUUACAAGGAAGCACCGGCUAACUCCGUGCCAGCAGCCGCGGUAAU
RNAcentral lists this ribosomal RNA (489 nucleotides) under uncultured bacterium. RNAcentral's name for it is "bacterial SSU rRNA". It matches the Rfam family "Bacterial small subunit ribosomal RNA", at positions 30 to 524 of the family's 1533-position model. The record is from RNAcentral.